AAUGAGGAACUCAUGGAUGAACUCAAAGGGAAGAAGGAAGAGGUGGCGUGAGGAAGGCUAAGGCCCUCUCAUCACCUUUAGGAGGGAGAUCAAGGCUAACAGGAAAAAGUUGCUGCUGCUGAGACUGCUCCUUGGGAACCCUGGAGGAAAGAUGACUUCAUGAUUGUGGAAGAGCUGAUCAAAGGAGGGGUGCAUGAAGACUGGAGAAUAGCUGAUGUCACUGCAGGCUUCAGAAAGGGUGAGAAGGCUGGCAUCACCUCUGUUCCUGGAAAGAUGUUGUAUCAACUUGUUCCAGAUAUUAUCUCUAGGUGACAGGAAGAGAAGAAACUUCUAAGGAGCAUUGCAAGGGUGAGGGCUGGCUGGAAUACAUGACUGGUUUUGCCAGUGGUGAGAGAUAAGGAUCCAUGGGUGUGGAGUCUCCUGCUGAUUCAGGAUUGGAGGAUCCCAGUGGUGGAGUAAGGCCUGAAGAUGUGUGGCAGGUCCUGUCUUGGAGGAAUGAAGUGAGAGCAGCCCCUGUCCUGGUUGAGGGGUGUUAUCUGGUGAAGGAGUGUAUUGGGAGGUAGUGUCUUGUGGCAAGUUGGUUUGCUUGUCUUUUUUGCUUUGGAGGUGGCUUUGAGGUCAUUGGUAGUGAGCAGCCAAAAACACAGCCUGCCCAAGUGGGGUGGCUGUGUUUUUGGCUGCUGGU
Phasianus colchicus (ring-necked pheasant) is the source of this 685-nucleotide non-coding RNA. The record is from RefSeq and is a predicted model, not a curated record. NCBI's taxonomy places the organism in Eukaryota, Metazoa, Chordata, Aves, Galliformes, Phasianidae.